UACGUAGGGGGCAAGCGUUGUCCGGAUUUAUUGGGCGUAAAGAGCGUGUAGGCGGUUAGGUAGGUCCGCUGUGAAAACUCGAGGCUCAACCUCGAGAUGUCGGCGGAAACCACUUGGCUAGAGUCCGGAAGAGGAGAGUGGAAUUCCCGGUGUAGCGGUGAAAUGCGCAGAUAUCGGGAAGAACACCUAUGGCGAAGGCAGCUCUCUGGGACGGUACUGACGCUGAGACGCGAAAGCGUGGGGAGCGAACAGG
RNAcentral lists this ribosomal RNA (253 nucleotides) under uncultured bacterium. Its description in RNAcentral is "partial 16S ribosomal RNA". It matches the Rfam family "Bacterial small subunit ribosomal RNA", at positions 524 to 776 of the family's 1533-position model. The record is from RNAcentral.